AAUAGAUACCCGGGUAGUCCCAGCCGUAAACGAUGCUCGCUAGGUGUCAGGCAUGGCGCGACCGUGUCUGGUGCCGCAGGGAAGCCGUGAAGCGAGCCACCUGGGAAGUACGGCCGCAAGGCUGAAACUUAAAGGAAUUGGCGGGGGAGCACAACAACGGGUGGAGCCUGCGGUUUAAUUGGACUCAACGCCGGACAACUCACCGGGGACGACAGCAAUAUGUAGGUCAGGCUGAAGACCUUACCUGAAUCGCUGAGAGGAGGUGCAUGGCCGUCGCCAGUUCGUACUGUGAAGCAUCCUGUUAAGUCAGGCAACGAGCGAGACCCGUGCCCACUGUUACCAGCAUAUCCUCCGGGAUGAUGGGUACACUGUGGGGACCGCCGGUGUUAAAUCGGAGGAAGGUGCGGGCCACGGUAGGUCAGUAUGCCCCGAAUUUCCCGGGCUACACGCGGGCUACAAUGAAUGGGACAAUGGGUCCCUCCCCUGAAAAGGGCUGGUAAUCUCACAAACCCAUCCUUAGUUCGGAUCGAGGGCUGUAACUCGCCCUCG
Molecule: ribosomal RNA, 549 nt
Filed under: uncultured bacterium
Lineage: Bacteria
Description: bacterial SSU rRNA
Rfam family: Archaeal small subunit ribosomal RNA
Source: RNAcentral